RNAcentral lists this ribosomal RNA (301 nucleotides) under uncultured bacterium. RNAcentral describes it as "partial 16S ribosomal RNA". It matches the Rfam family "Bacterial small subunit ribosomal RNA", at positions 509 to 807 of the family's 1533-position model. The record is from RNAcentral.
CAGCCGCCGCGGUAAUACGAAGGGGGCUAGCGUUGUUCGGAUUUACUGGGCGUAAAGCGCACGUAGGCGGAUUCUUAAGUCAGAGGUGGAAUCCCAAGGCUCAACCUUGGAACUGCCUUUGAUACUGGGGAUCUCGAGUCCGGGAGAGGUGAGUGGAACUGCGAGUGUAGAGGUGAAAUUCGUAGAUAUUCGCAAGAACACCAGUGGCGAAGGCGGCUCACUGGCCCGGUACUGACGCUGAGGUGCGAAAGCGUGGGGAGCAAACAGGAUUAGAUACCCCAGUAGUCCCUGUCUCUUAUAC